GAUGAACGCUGGCGGCGUGCCUAAUACAUGCAAGUCGAGCGAACAGAUGAGGAGCUUGCUCCUCUGACGUUAGCGGCGGACGGGUGAGUAACACGUGGAUAACCUACCUAUAAGACUGGGAUAACUUCGGGAAACCGGAGCUAAUACCGGAUAAUAUAUUGAACCGCAUGGUUCAAUAGUGAAAGACGGUUUUGCUGUCACUUAUAGAUGGAUCCGCGCCGCAUUAGCUAGUUGGUAAGGUAACGGCUUACCAAGGCAACGAUGCGUAGCCGACCUGAGAGGGUGAUCGGCACACUGGAACUGAGACACGGUCCAGACUCCUACGGGAGGCAGCAGUAGGGAAUCUUCCGCAAUGGGCGAAAGCUUGACGGAGCAACGCCGCGUGAGUGAUGAAGGUCUUCGGAUCGUAAAACUCUGUUAUUAGGGAAGAACAAAUGUGUAAGUAACUAUGCACGUCUUGACGGUACCUAAUCAGAAAGCCACGGCUAACUACGUG
Molecule: ribosomal RNA, 496 nt
Filed under: uncultured bacterium
Lineage: Bacteria
Description: partial 16S ribosomal RNA
Rfam family: Bacterial small subunit ribosomal RNA
Source: RNAcentral